RNAcentral lists this ribosomal RNA (521 nucleotides) under Hortaea werneckii. RNAcentral describes it as "LSU rRNA". It matches the Rfam family "Eukaryotic large subunit ribosomal RNA", at positions 86 to 634 of the family's 3401-position model. Lineage: Eukaryota; Fungi; Ascomycota; Dothideomycetes; Mycosphaerellales; Teratosphaeriaceae. The record is from RNAcentral.
ACGGCGAGUGAAGCGGCAACAGCUCAAAUUUGAAAUCUGGCGCAAGCCCGAGUUGUAAUUUGUAGAGGAUGCUUCUGGGCAGCGGCCGGUCUAAGUUCCUUGGAACAGGACGUCAUAGAGGGUGAGAAUCCCGUAUGCGACCGGCUUGCACCCGUCACGUAGCUCCUUCGACGAGUCGAGUUGUUUGGGAAUGCAGCUCUAAAUGGGAGGUAAAUUUCUUCUAAGGCUAAAUACCGGCCAGAGACCGAUAGCGCACAAGUAGAGUGAUCGAAAGAUGAAAAGCACUUUGGAAAGAGAGUUAAAAAGCACGUGAAAUUGUUGAAAGGGAAGCUCACGCAACCAGACUUGUCGGCGGUGUUCCGCCGGUCUUCUGACCGGUCUAUUCGCCGCCGGCAGGCCAGCAUCACUUGGGAGCGCCGGAAAAAGGCGUGCGGAAUGUAGCCCCUCGGGGCAUUAUAGCCGCGCGCACAAUACGGCGCCUCCCGAGUGAGGUCCGCGCUUCGGCUAGGAUGCUGGCGUAA